GCCAUCCAUGCUUCGUUCCCGCGCUUCCUCGUUCCUGAUCCUGAACCCCUGUGUAUCGACCUCCGCCUGUCCUCCGACCAACCCCAAAAAGCUCCAGGGAGCCACUAAUGCGGCGAUAAAGAGCCACAUGCAGCUCAGGAGCCUUGGGUUGCCAACCUCUGCCCUUUGAGGACAGCAACAGUCACCCCAUUUAACCAAAAGACCAUCCAAAGGAAAUAAAAAAAAGUGAUUCAUGGGGCUAUGGCCAGAACGGGCCGUAGACGGUGGGAGCAAAAGUUCCUCUUGUCGAGGAGGGGGCGCCACCCCAUCAAAACAGAAGUGAUGUGAAAGGGCCGCACUGGAAGUGACGUCACAUUCGGUGCUACACGAGAACAUGAGUUUGCUUUGUUUGUGAA
Molecule: long non-coding RNA, 395 nt
Organism: Syngnathoides biaculeatus (alligator pipefish)
Lineage: Eukaryota; Metazoa; Chordata; Actinopteri; Syngnathiformes; Syngnathidae
Exons: 3
Source: RefSeq, a predicted model, not a curated record